This 1175-nucleotide ribosomal RNA is filed under the name Runella zeae. RNAcentral's name for it is "bacterial SSU rRNA". It matches the Rfam family "Bacterial small subunit ribosomal RNA", at positions 49 to 1234 of the family's 1533-position model. Lineage: Bacteria; Pseudomonadati; Bacteroidota; Cytophagia; Cytophagales; Spirosomataceae. The record is from RNAcentral.
CCAAACAUGCAGGCGAGGGGCACCAAUGUCACUGUCGUACGGGUGCGUAACACGUAUGCAACCUACCUAUCACAGGGGGAUAGCCUCUGGAAACAGGGAUUAAUACCGCAUAAAGCAAGGACACCGCACGGAUGAUAUUGCUAAAGAUUUAUCGGUGAUAGAUGGGCAUGCGUCUGAUUAGUUAGUUGCGUGAGGUAACGGCUCACCAAGACGAUGAUCAGUACGGGGCGUCACAACUGUGGUCCCCCACACUGGCACUGAGAUACCGGCCAGACUCCUACGGCGAGGCAGCAGAUACGGAAUAUUGGGCAAUGGAUGCAAGUCUGACCCAGCCAUGCCGCGUGCAGGAAGAAGGUCCUCUGGAUUGUAAACUGCUUUUUUGGGGGAAGAAUAGUUUUCUUGCGAGGAAAUGUGACGGUACCCUAAGAAUAAGCCACGGCUAACUACGUGCCAGCAGCCGCGGUAAUACGUAGGUGGCAAGCGUUGUCCGGAUUUAUUGGGUUUAAAGGGUGCGUAGGUGGUUUGAUAAGUCAGUGGUGAAAGCCGGUUGCUCAACAAUCGAGUUGCCAUUGAUACUGUCGGACUUGAUAGAAGUGGAGGUUCAUGGAAUGGAUGGUGUAGCGGUGAAAUGCAUAGAUAUCAUCCAGAACGUCUAUUGCGAAAGCAGUGGGCUGUACUUUAUCUGACACUGACGCACGAAAGUGUGGGGAUCAAACAGGAUUAGAUACCCUGGUAGUCCACACUGUAAACGAUGCGAACUAGCUUUUUGGUUUUUGGAUUGGGAGGCUAAGGGAAACCGAUAAGUUCGCCACCUGGGGAGUACGCCGGCAACGGUGAAACUCAAAGGAAUUGACGGGGGUCCGCACUAGCGGUGGAGCAUGUGGUUUAAUUCGAUGAUACGCGAGGAACCUUACCUGGGCUAAAUCACAUAUGAAUUUACCAGAGAUGUUAGAGCCAGCAAUGGCAUAUAUGAAGGUGCUGCAUGGCUGUCAUCAGCUCGUGCCGUGAGGUGUUGGGUUAAGUCCCCCAGCGAGCGCAACCCUUGGUGGAUAGUUGCUAACAGGUAAAGCUGAGGACUCUAUUUCAACUGCCUGCGCAAGCAAACACGAAAGGAGGGGACGACGUCAAGUCCUCAUGGACCCUUACGUCCAGGGCUACCCACGUGGUACAUGGCG